Molecule: long non-coding RNA, 2970 nt
Organism: Nannospalax galili (Upper Galilee mountains blind mole rat)
Lineage: Eukaryota; Metazoa; Chordata; Mammalia; Rodentia; Spalacidae
Exons: 3
Source: RefSeq, a predicted model, not a curated record
GGCGCAAGCGUUCGCCUCCUGGGAGACAGAGCAGAAAAACAGCUAAUAGCGCUAAAGGAGGCGAAAAGCAGGGCGUGAAGCUCGGAGAGGCCCUGCCCACUCCCCAGGGCUGGAGUUCUGGCCGCAGGGCGUGCGGGAAGGCCCUGAAUCGGGCAGGAUCUCUCUCUUCCCUGGCACCCCAAGCGUGACCUGCCCUCUGUGUUUCAGUUAAACAACCGAGCACAAGCACUGCCAGAAUAGCAGAGGACAGCCCCCAGGCUGGGUCCCUCCCGGGCAGGGGGCCCUCGUCAGGUCGAUGCUAUCGCAGGGAGGAGGCUCUCAGCCCAGCCCACAGAAACGCCUCUGCUCUUCCAUCUCCGGGCUGGGUCCUUUCCGGCAGCAGUUUUCAGCCAAUCAGUGAACGAAACGCAUAAACACUUGACCAAUCAGAUGCCAAACCCUCCCCCCUCCCUCCUGUAGCGUGGCCCACUAGCUCCAAGACGCAUGCGUUGGCCUCGGGGACUGCCGGGACUUGGAGUUCCACUGCAACGUACAAAGGCCACUUAGAGGCCAAGAGCCGAGGAGGGAAAAGAACAAAAGGGAGGAAGGGACCAUAUCCUUCUGGACAAGGCGAAGUAGCCCCUGCUUUAUCUUGGAGACCACAGCAUGAUUCAGCGGGGAAGAGUGCCCUGGUUUUUCUCUCGGCCAUAGGACCAUCUCUGAGUUAGAGUUUAUGAUCCACGAGAUCAGACUUUAGUGCUGAGCUCCGCGGGGAUCAGCCCUUAUCUACCAGCCCAGACCGGAGAGGAAAACGACCCCCAUCCAAUGUCCCUCGGAGACUCCCAGGCUUCGCUAGAACUUUGGGCCCCGCCCACACACUACACCUCCCAGCGUCUCCCGGUCCACAGACUACAACUCCCAGCAGGGCUUGCGGCACGCGCAACCCCGCCUGCAGACUACAACUCCCAGUAGGCCUCGCGCCGCCCGCCUAGCGCGGGAGUGUGGGGUUUCCCGGGGUUAACCCUAUAGUGAUCUACGGCCGCGGUUGGUUUUUUUUUGUUUUUUUUUUUUAAUAGAGGGGACCCAAUUGUACUCGUGAAAGAUGCCGGAACACUGCGAUCAGAAGCGGGGAGCGGAUAGGGCGAGUAAGGAGAUAGUUGGCCCCAGGGUAGAAACUCAGGGACCUUGCAUUCCUGAGGAUCUCUGCUGAAAAGGUUCUUGGAGCCCUCCCACAGCAUUGGGAUCCCCGGGAGGGUCCUCAGGAUGUUAGCAAUCUCUGGCUCCAAGCAGGAAGCCACAAACCCGAGUUAGGGACGAACAGACUUACCUCCUGUUGCAAAAGAUCCAAUGGAUUGCUGGCUCCAAGGUUCUUGGGAGGCCUGAGCUGAGAGAUUAUAGAUACCACCAGCAGAUUCCGGAGAUCUCAGAGCCGCAGGUCCUGUUCCCAGUACCCAGUUAUUUACGGUUAAAUUACUCAAAUGCCUAAAAUGAGCUAGCAGGACCCUACCAGCCAUAAAGCACCACCCUCUACCUGCUGCUUCCCUUCCACUCCCAAAGGAAGGUGAUGCUACUUUGCCUAAGGCUUGAACUCUCUGCGAUGAAGGAAGUGAUGGGGUUAAGCCAGGCAUCCCAAGCCUGUAACAGCAUGUGGAAAACUGGAAGGAACACAGCAGGCCAUGGGGAACCAAGAGGCCAGUGUGGCAUGAGCACCAAGCGCAGCGGUGGCGAGGCAGAAGCCAGCCGUGCAGGGCCUCCGUGGCCCUGCCAAGAGCAUGGGAAAAAUGCAAGCUUUUGAAUGGGGGCGGCAGAGCAGAGGACUGUAACACAAUCAGAUUUACAAUUUUGGAAAAGCUGAUUCCAGUCCCUUGCCAUUGAAAGCAUGAAUUGGAAUGGAUCCAGGGUAGGCGCAGGAAGACCCGUUUGGAGGGUGUUACAAAGUCUAUGGCCUAUUCAUACUUCUCUUUGUCCUUUUGUGAACAUUGCACGUGUACUGUAUUACUGUGUGACUUGAGCCAACUUGUUCCUUUGCUGUUGAAUCUGACUCAUCUCCUUUGUAAACAGGAAGGCUAUUGCGGGAGAAGAUUCCGGUUGCUCCCCCACCCCCCAUACUCUAAAUCCCUAUGAUACAGGGAACACAAAUGAUAUUUAGAUUGUGAUACUGAAAGUCUUUCCAGGGUGUCCCUUAUAACACACACCCAUGGGCUAGGGAGAUGGCUCAGUGGGUAAGGUGCUUGCCUUUAAGCUUGAGGACUUGAGUUUGAUCCCUGGGCCCCACAUGGUGGAAGGAGAGAACCAAGAACCAACUUUCACAGUUUGUCCUCCAUUCACACAUUGUGGCAUGUGCACACAUACACAACACUAAAUAAAUGUAAAAUGUAAAAAAAAAUAUAUACUCACCCUAAAGCAACCCUCAUUAACAUUAGAUUGAUAGUGGACACUGUUGUGUUCUGCCUUUAGAUUUCUAAACAUUUGAAUGAUAGAUGAGAUACAUUGGUCUUAGCCAAAAGGCAAGAAGGAGUGGAGGAUUAGAUGAUGCAGAAAAUAAUCUAGAUAUCCAAGCUUGUCCUACUCAAGUGUGGUCCAUGACGAGAAACAUUGGCAGUACCUGGAAACUUGCUGGAAUGAAACUCUCAGCCCCACUCCAGACCCACUGAAGUAGAACCUGGAUCUUACCAUGGCCUCCAAGGUAAACCCCCAAAGUAAACAUUAAGGAGCACCUGGGUUUCUAAGCAGCAUCCCUCUCCACCUCUGUGGGUCAUAUUCAUAAUUUAGAUAUGGCACAUGGCACGGUCUGGCAUGGAAGUGUGUUUUGCAGCAGAGAACAGCCGGAGGGUAGGAGCCAGGGGUUGUGCACAGCUCUUGACCUCUUCCAGGGUUGUACACAAUGACAGGAAGUGGGAGAUACAGGACUCUGUCCUGUCCUGCCUUUCCCAGCUGUGGGUAUUAUACCCUCUAGAAAGGAGGAUCACUAAUCUUUCCAACUUUUUUUUU